Molecule: ribosomal RNA, 468 nt
Filed under: uncultured bacterium
Lineage: Bacteria
Description: partial 16S ribosomal RNA
Rfam family: Bacterial small subunit ribosomal RNA
Source: RNAcentral
GACGAACGCUGGCGGCGUGCUUAACACAUGCAAGUCGAACGGAAAGGUCCUGCUUUUGUGCGGUCCUCUAGUGGCGACCUGGUGAGUAACACGUGAGUACCCUGCCCUUGACUUUGGGAUAACUUCAUGAAACUUGGUCUCAUCCCGCAUAGGAUCUCCUGCUGCAUGGUGGGGGUUGGUAAGUUUCGCCGGUUGGGGAUUGACUCGCGGCUUAUCAGCUUGUUGGUGGGGUAGUGGCUUACCAAGGCUUUGAAGGGUAGCAGGGCUGGGAGGGUGACCGGCCACAUUAGGACGGAGAUACGACCCAGACUACUACGGGAGGCAGCGGUGGAGAAUAGUGCACAAUGGGAGGAAGGAAGAUGCGACAACGCAGCGUGCGGGAAGAGAGGCUUGGGGUUGGAAACCGAAGUCGCCUUUGACGAAGCGUGAAUGACGGUAAUGGGUAAAGAAGCACCGGCUAACUACGUG